UACGUAGGUGGCAAGCGUUGUCCGGAAUUAUUGGGCGUAAAGCGCGCGCAGGCGGUCCUUUAAGUCUGAUGUGAAAGCCCACGGCUCAACCGUGGAGGGUCAUUGGAAACUGGGGGACUUGAGUGCAGAAGAGGAAAGCGGAAUUUCCGGUGUAGCGGUGAAAUGCGUAGAUAUCUGGAGGAACACCCGUGGUGCAGACGGCUUGCUGGACCGUGACUGACGCUGAGGCACGAAAGCGUGGGUAGCAAACAGG
RNAcentral lists this ribosomal RNA (253 nucleotides) under uncultured bacterium. RNAcentral's name for it is "partial 16S ribosomal RNA". It matches the Rfam family "Bacterial small subunit ribosomal RNA", at positions 524 to 776 of the family's 1533-position model. The record is from RNAcentral.